CAAUAAUCUGCUUUUGGAGGUGGUCAGAUCACAUAAUCAGGGCUGAGCUCAAGAUGCAGAACAGGCUUGUGUGGGAGUGCUGGGCUAGCCUCCUGCUUUCCAGUUGCUGUGACGGUGGUAGAGAUGAGCAAGCUUUGUUCACCUCACUUUGCUACCUCUGGGCUCAGAGCGCUACUGCAACUGACCUUCAUCUGGAGAUGGAGGGAAACCACGGGGCUACUUCCCGAUGCUGCAACGCUUCAGUCCCUGUGUGAUGUACAGAAAGCAACCUGCAAUUAUACAAUUAGACCGAAUGUACACUUUCCCCAUUAGUGUUUAUUUUUGUCGCCGGUCACAUGGCUUCCUGGAAAAAUGAAGGCCGUUAGUCUAUGGGGCUCAUCUUUCCUCUCCCCUUUCAAGACAUUUUGCUGAUCUCCUUUGAUUUCAGCCUGCUGAUUCUUCUCUUUAAGGAUGCUCCUUGGAGUUCGAGGGGCUCAGAGGUGUGUGGAUUGCUGAAAUUGGACUUACGUGGCAUAUUUACCUUGAAAAGCUGAGGCCUGUGUAAAGAGGCCCCUGGCAGCUGGCUGUCAGUGGGGCAGGAAGAGGAAAGCACAAACCAAAGGGGAGGGAUGAUGUUUCAGAGAGAGGCUAACUCCUGGGUGUGGGGUUGAGGGAGAGGGAAAAGCGUGGCAGUUCGUGGUCAAAUGCACUGCUCCUGAGUGCCUGGGAUCCGAGGGAGAGGGCGCCGUUGGGCAUGCUACGCGAUUCAGAGGAAUAACCCGAGUGUUCCCUGACCUGCCAAACUGCUUGGCAGCCACCCAUUUGACCGUCCAAUGAGCUUCCCAGCAGCACAAAUCAGAAAGUCAAUAAGACAGCACCAGUUUCCAAAUCCCAUCUCAUUGCACAUAAACCGAAAGUCUCAACAAUCAAUAAUGUGUUACUGAAUUACAAUCAGAAUUCAGCGUAGCAACACCUCAACGAGCCAGUGCGUCCAAGAGGCAUCUGAGUCAAUGAGUGAACUCCAAAAAUGUUAAAUGAGAUGAAGUGGUCAGAUCAUAAUUUUGGAAGCAAUGUCUGAAAGGCAGCAGGUGGGAGAUGAAGAAGAGAAGGAAAGGGAAAAUGAGAGAAAGCCUGCAGUUGAUCUGUUUUAUUUAUUUAUUUUUUAAAAAUGGUCCAGUUCAGUACCAAUUAAUCAUUCCAGUCUCUCCGUGCCAGCCGUGGAAAAUCUCCAGCAUCUAUGGGUUUGUGUUAAUGUCCGCAACUCCAUUGCCGACU
Molecule: long non-coding RNA, 1254 nt
Filed under: Vulpes vulpes (red fox)
Lineage: Eukaryota; Metazoa; Chordata; Mammalia; Carnivora; Canidae
Description: lncRNA (ENSVVUG00000017307.1)
Source: RNAcentral